GACCUCGGAUCAGGUAGGAAUACCCGCUGAACUUAAGCAUAUCAAAAGGCGGAGGGGA
This 58-nucleotide ribosomal RNA is filed under the name Diaporthe nobilis. RNAcentral describes it as "partial 28S ribosomal RNA". The record is from RNAcentral. Lineage: Eukaryota; Fungi; Ascomycota; Sordariomycetes; Diaporthales; Diaporthaceae.